AAAGACUUAGUCCUAACCUUACCAUUAACUUUUGCUAGACAUAUACAUGCAAGUAUCCGCGCCCCAGUGUAAAUGCCCUCAACCCCUAUAGUCCAGGUAAGAGGAGCUGGCAUCAGGCACGCCCAUUGCAGCCCAAGACGCCUUGUUCAGCCACUCCCCCACGGGUACUCAGCAGUAAUUAACAUUAAGCAAUAAGUGUAAACUUGACUUAGUUAUAGCAAUGCCAGAGGAGCUGGCAUCAGGCACGCCCAUUGCAGCCCAAGACGCCUUGUUCAGCCACUCCCCCACGGGUACUCAGCAGUAAUUAACAUUAAGCAAUAAGUGUAAACUUGACUUAGUUAUAGCAAUGCCAGGGUUGGUAAAUCUUGUGCCAGCCACCGCGGUCACACAAGAGACCCAAGUUAAUCGUGCACGGCGUAAAGAGUGGAAUCACGAUAUCGCAGUAGUUAAGGUCAAAACGUAGCUGAGCUGUCAUAAGCCCAAGGUACAUCUAAAACCACCCUAAACACGACCUUAAUCCACACGACAAACUAAACUCCACGAAAGCUAGGGCACAAACUGGGAUUAGAUACCCCACUAUGCCUAGCCCUAAAUCUUGAUGUUUACCCCACCAAAGCAUCCGCCUGAGGACUACGAGCACAAACGCUUAAAACUCUAAGGACUUGGCGGUGCCCCAAACCCACCUAGAGGAGCCUGUUCUGUAAUCGACAACCCACGAUACACCCGACCACUUCUUGCCAGUAACAGCCUACAUACCGCCGUCGUCAGCCCACCUUCCGUGAAAGUACAGCAGUGAGCACAAUCGCCCUUAACCCCCGCUAAUAAGACAGGUCAAGGUAUAGCCCAUGAAGUGGAAGAAAUGGGCUACAUUUUCUAACUUAGAAAACUUUACGGAAAGGGGUGUGAAAUAACCCCUGGAAGGCGGAUUUAGCAGUAAAGCGGGACAAUAAAGCCCCCUUUAAACCGGCCCUGAGGCACGUACAUACCGCCCGUCACCCUCCUCACAAGCCCCUUACACCCCUAUAAAUAAUAACCCCUCUUGCCAAAGAUGAGGUAAGUCGUAACAAGGUAAGUGUACCGGAAGGUGCACUUAGCACAC
This 1099-nucleotide ribosomal RNA is filed under the name Treron curvirostra. RNAcentral's name for it is "12S ribosomal RNA". It matches the Rfam family "Bacterial small subunit ribosomal RNA". The record is from RNAcentral. Lineage: Eukaryota; Metazoa; Chordata; Aves; Columbiformes; Columbidae.